GACGAACCGUCCUAACGUUGUUCGGAAUCACUGGGCUUAAAGGGCGCGUAGGCGGGCCACCAAGUCCGGGGUGAAAUCUUUCGGCUUAACCGGAAAACUGCCUUGGAUACUGGUGGUCUCGAGGGAGGUAGGGGUCUGUGGAACUUCUGGUGGAGCGGUGAAAUGCGUUGAUAUCAGAAGGAACGCCGGUGGCGAAAGCGACGGACUGGACCUUCACUGACGCUGAGGCGCGAAAGCUAGGGGAGCAAACGGG
This 253-nucleotide ribosomal RNA is filed under the name uncultured bacterium. RNAcentral describes it as "partial 16S ribosomal RNA". It matches the Rfam family "Bacterial small subunit ribosomal RNA", at positions 524 to 776 of the family's 1533-position model. The record is from RNAcentral.